This 538-nucleotide ribosomal RNA is filed under the name Trigonopterus sp. 116 AR-2022a. Its description in RNAcentral is "partial large subunit ribosomal RNA". It matches the Rfam family "Bacterial large subunit ribosomal RNA", at positions 1820 to 2625 of the family's 2925-position model. Lineage: Eukaryota; Metazoa; Arthropoda; Insecta; Coleoptera; Curculionidae. The record is from RNAcentral.
GUCUUGCUGAUAAUAAUUACAAGUCUGACCUGCUCUAUGAAUAUUUUAAAUGGCCGCAGUACUUUGACUGUGCAAAGGUAGCAUAAUCACUAGUUUUUUAAUUGAGAGCUUGUAUGAAAGGUUUGAUAAAAAAUUUUCUGUCUCUAUAAAAUUUCAUUAGAAUUUUAUUUUUAAGUUAAAAAGCUUAAAUAAUUGUUGAAGACGAGAAGACCCUAUAGAGUUUUAUAUUAUUAUAAAAAUAAUAUGUUUAAGGAGAGAAAAUUGUAUUUUUAUAUUAGUAUUUUGUUGGGGUGAUAAAAAAAUUGGUCUAACUUUUUUUUAAUUAGAACAUUAAUUUGUGAUUAUUUGAUCCUUUAUUUAAGAUAAAAAGAAAAAAUUACCUUAGGGAUAACAGCGUAAUUUUCUUUAAAGUUCUUAUUAAAAAGAAAGAUUGCGACCUCGAUGUUGGAUUAAAAUAUAUUGUUGGUGAAGUAGCUAGCUAAAUUAGGUCUGUUCGACCUUUAAAAUUUUACAUGAUCUGAGUUUAAACCGGCGUAAG